CAGCAGCCGCGGGAAUACGAAGGGUGCAAGCGUUACUCGGAAUUACUGGGCGUAAAGCGUGCGUAGGUGGUGGUUUAAGUCCGUUGUGAAAGCCCUGGGCUCAACCUGGGAAUUGCAGUGGAUACUGGGUCACUAGAGUGUGGUAGAGGAUAGUGGAAUUUCCGGUGUAGCAGUGAAAUGCGUAGAGAUCGGAAGGAACAUCUGUGGCGAAGGCGGCUCACUGGUCCGGUACUGACGCUGAGGUGCGAAAGCGUGGGGAGCAAACAGGAUUAGAUACCCCAGUAGUCCCUGUCUCUUAUAC
RNAcentral lists this ribosomal RNA (301 nucleotides) under uncultured bacterium. RNAcentral's name for it is "partial 16S ribosomal RNA". It matches the Rfam family "Bacterial small subunit ribosomal RNA", at positions 509 to 807 of the family's 1533-position model. The record is from RNAcentral.